This 333-nucleotide ribosomal RNA is filed under the name uncultured microorganism. RNAcentral's name for it is "bacterial SSU rRNA". It matches the Rfam family "Bacterial small subunit ribosomal RNA", at positions 9 to 323 of the family's 1533-position model. The record is from RNAcentral.
GUAGUUUGAUCAUGGCUCAGAACGAACGCUGGCGGCGUGGAUAAGACAUGCAAGUCGAACGGAUCUGUCGGUGUAGCAAUACAUCGGCAGGUUAGUGGCGUAAGGGUGCGUAACACGUGGGCAACCUGCCCGGAAAUGGGGGAUAGCCCGCCGAAAGGCGGAUUAAUACCGCAUGUGACCACUGAAGACAUCUUCAGGACGUCAAAGCUGGGGUCAAAACCUAGCGUUUCCGGAUGGGCCCGCGGCCUAUCAGCUAGUUGGUGAGGUAACGGCUCACCAAGGGCGAUGACGGGUAGCUGGCCUGAGAGGACGACCAGCCACACUGGAACUGAG